AUGGAGGCAGAGUACCCCCAAAUAAACCCUCUCCUCCUCUGCUCCAGGCGCCGGAAAAGGGAGGAGGACGAGGGAGGGCUCGAGCUGCUGCUGUCCAUGGAUCUCGACGAGGAGGAGACGCGCUCGGAGCAGCAGGCGCCGCCUCGGGUUCCGGACAAGCUGAAAGCAGUGUCACAAGAGCUUGGACAUGACAUCCGGAUAUUUACAAGCACAACAUUUGAGCUAAUGACUAGCAAAUUGUCCAAGGCAGAUCAGGAGGAAGACGAUGACUUUUAUGAGCUUCAGCCUAGUGAUUAUUACAAGUUGAUUUCAAAUAGGCUUGCAGAACAAUCGAAAGUUCUGAAGACUCGUAAAAUAAGGGAAGCAGAACUUGCUGCUCAACGAGCAAGGCUAACAAAGGCAGUGGCGAGGGUUCGAUUCCCUGAUGGUUACAUUCUUGAGGCUGAGUUCCAUCCAUCAGAGACGGUACAUAGUCUGGUGGAUCUUCUCAUGAAAGUAAUUGCUAGAAAAGACCUGCCAUUCUAUCUUUACACAGUUCCUCCAAAGAAGCGAAUAAUGGACACCUCGCAGGACUUCUACACAAUUGGCUUUGUUCCUGGAGCUAAUGUCUUCUUUUCUUAUGAUCUGCCAGAAGGGUCGGAGUUAAAUACAGAUGCUGUAAAAUCCGGACCAUAUCUCCGUGAAGAAAUUCGAACUUUGGAUGGACUGUCACUUCAGUCGGAACCUUCUGACCAACCUGAUGAUUCAAAGACAAAUUCUGAUUCAGCUCAUCAGUCUUAUGCAUUCCAAUCUGAUUCUGCACCAGCAGCAGCAAAUAAGAAAUCAGCCAAACCAAAGUGGUUCAAAAGGUGA
Molecule: ribosomal RNA, 852 nt
Filed under: Triticum aestivum (bread wheat)
Lineage: Eukaryota; Viridiplantae; Streptophyta; Magnoliopsida; Poales; Poaceae
Description: partial small subunit ribosomal RNA
Source: RNAcentral